Molecule: ribosomal RNA, 440 nt
Filed under: uncultured bacterium
Lineage: Bacteria
Description: partial 16S ribosomal RNA
Rfam family: Bacterial small subunit ribosomal RNA
Source: RNAcentral
CCUACGUGAGGCAGCAGUGGGGAAUAUUGCACAAUGGGGGAAACCCUGAUGCAGCGACGCCGCGUGAGUGAAGAAGUAAUUCGUUAUGUAAAGCUCUAUCAGCAGGGAAGAAAAUGACGGUACCUGAGUACGAAGCCCCGGCUAACUACGAGCCAGCAGCCGCGGUAAUGCGUAGGGGGCAACCGUUAUCCGGAUUUACUGGGGUUAAAGGGAGCGUAGACGGAAUGGAAAGUCUGGAGUGAAAGUCGGGGGCUCAACCCCCGGACUGCUCUGGAAACUGUACGGCUGGAGUGCAGGAGAGGUAAGUGGAAUUCCUAGUGUAGCGGUGAAAUGCGUAGAUAUUAGGAGGAACACCAGUGGCGAAGGCGGCUUACUGGACUGUAACUGACGUUGAGGCUCGAAAGCGUGGGGAGCAAACAGGAUUAGAUACCCCUGUAGUC